CAAACAGCCUACGUUCACUUGCCGCCGCCUACUGGUGUAGCAGUUAAACACGUUCUUUAUUUCAACAUCAAAGAAUGCUUAUUUGCAAAAUGUUUAAAGACUCAAACGAGGCCCAGUUAGUUCCGCUGAACUUUGAGAAGAGUGUAACAUGAAAAUCCACAACAGAAAGGAAGGAUAUUGUUUUAAGGAGGACCGUAUGUUCGAACAUGGAAUCUUCAAUGUUUUUAGAGAAAACAGUGUGAAUGUUACCCACAUGUCAUGGUGUCAGUGGAGGGACAGACUGGAGUUUUGUAUGGCUGCAAGAAUACUGAUGAGCUAUGGAAAUGACGGACAGUGACCAGGUGGAAAAUCAUCAUGGAAAAAAGUGAUGGGAAACAGGACAUGGGUCUGCAGCCAGCACCUUGCGCACGCUGUCACUCCCUAGUGAACACCGCAGAACUAAGAGUGAUGGAGUGAAGCAAACACAGUGAUGUCAUGAUGCAUACUGACUUUUUCAUCUGCGAUAUAUAUACAUGAACAUGAAAUAGCAUACUACUGUAAAUAUUGCUGAAAAUAGUAUGCUUUUACUUGAAUGUGUUGUAAACAUGACUGUUCUUUUUAAAAAGGUUUGCAUGAAACGGUACCUCAAAAAAUUUUGAGAAGCAAAUAAUCUGAAGCAGUUA
Carassius gibelio (silver crucian carp) is the source of this 662-nucleotide long non-coding RNA. RefSeq lists it as uncharacterized. Lineage: Eukaryota; Metazoa; Chordata; Actinopteri; Cypriniformes; Cyprinidae. The transcript has 4 exons. The record is from RefSeq and is a predicted model, not a curated record.